This 429-nucleotide ribosomal RNA is filed under the name Bacillota bacterium. RNAcentral's name for it is "Firmicutes bacterium partial 16S ribosomal RNA". It matches the Rfam family "Bacterial small subunit ribosomal RNA", at positions 355 to 776 of the family's 1533-position model. Lineage: Bacteria; Bacillati; Bacillota. The record is from RNAcentral.
UAGGGAAUCUUCGGCAAUGGACGGAAGUCUGACCGAGCAACGCCGCGUGAGUGAAGAAGGUUUUCGGAUCGUAAAGCUCUGUUGUUAGAGAAGAACGUUGGUAGGAGUGGAAAAUCUACCAAGUGACGGUAACUAACCAGAAAGGGACGGCUAACCACGUGCCAGCAGCCGCGGUAAUACGUAGGUCCCGAGCGUUGUCCGGAUUUAUUGGGCGUAAAGCGAGCGCAGGCGGUUCUUUAAGUCUGAAGUUAAAGGCAGUGGCUUAACCAUUGUACGCUUUGGAAACUGGAGGACUUGAGUGCAGAAGGGGAGGGUGGAAUUCCAUGUGUAGCGGUGAAAUGCGUAGAUAUAUGGAGGAACACCGGUGGCGAAAGCGGCUCUCUGGUCUGUAACUGACGCUGAGGCUCGAAAGCGUGGGGAGCAAACAGG